Molecule: transfer RNA, 58 nt
Filed under: Loxodonta africana (African savanna elephant)
Lineage: Eukaryota; Metazoa; Chordata; Mammalia; Proboscidea; Elephantidae
Source: Rfam by way of RNAcentral
UGAUGUAGCGGUUAACAGUUAUGGCUGCUAAUCAAAAGGUUGGUGGUUCAAAUCCACC